GCGAUCCGGUAAGCUCACUCGGAAGAGCACCCGCUCUGUGAGCGGGAGAUCCCGUGUUCGAGUCCCGACCUUCCA
This 75-nucleotide transfer RNA is filed under the name Dreissena polymorpha. Its description in RNAcentral is "tRNA-Thr". Lineage: Eukaryota; Metazoa; Mollusca; Bivalvia; Myida; Dreissenidae. The record is from RNAcentral.